Molecule: long non-coding RNA, 295 nt
Organism: Humulus lupulus (European hop)
Lineage: Eukaryota; Viridiplantae; Streptophyta; Magnoliopsida; Rosales; Cannabaceae
Exons: 3
Source: RefSeq, a predicted model, not a curated record
UAGUCGUUGAGUCUCUCAUCCCCCCCUCUCUGUUUAUCUCUCCCGCUGGCUUUGAGCAAGAACUGGAGACCUCCGUUUGUCUCUGUGAGGUUAGGAAAUCAAUCAAAGAGACUGCCUUAAUUCUCUCUAAUGAUGAUGUUGAUGGUGGCAGGGCUUGGCAAGGCGAGGUGUAGGCUCGAUGCAUGGAGGUGGGACUGUGGGGAUGGUGUUGUAACAGCGGGGACUUCAAUGCGACUACGGUACCGUUGCCAUGAAGAAAAUGGUUUAUUUUGAUUACAUCCCCACUUAUCUAAAA